RNAcentral lists this ribosomal RNA (253 nucleotides) under uncultured bacterium. RNAcentral describes it as "partial 16S ribosomal RNA". It matches the Rfam family "Bacterial small subunit ribosomal RNA", at positions 524 to 776 of the family's 1533-position model. The record is from RNAcentral.
UACGUAGGUGGCAAGCGUUGUCCGGAUUUACUGGGCGUAAAGAGCGCGCAGGCGGUCGUUCAAGUCGCGUGUGAAAGCCCCCGGCUCAACUGGGGAGGGUCACGCGAUACUGAUCGACUCGAAGGCAGGAGAGGGUAGUGGAAUUCCCGGUGUAGUGGUGAAAUGCGUAGAUAUCGAGAGGAACACCUGCGGCGAAGGCGGGUAGCUGGGCCGACACUGACGCUGAGGCGCGAAAGCCAGGGGAGCGAACGGG